CAAAAAUAGCCAGGUGGAGGAACUGACUGUGGUACUGAAUGACAGCACUCUCGAUUCCACAGCAGCAGGCAAGUGAUGGAACAAUGAACUGACAGAACAGUAGAUUCAGCACAAUGGCAGAAGUAAGGUUACAACUUUUACUCUUCAAGAGUGGCCUGAAGGUAGCCUGGGAGUCACAGCUUAAAAGCGUGCUGCACGGGACAGCAGCCCAUUGUCGACCAAUGCCCAAGAUGAAUUUCACCCUCAGAACAGAUAUGUCUGCAGCAAGCACAUUCUGGUAUAGGGCAAAAACAACAAGAGAAAA
Molecule: long non-coding RNA, 304 nt
Organism: Pristis pectinata (smalltooth sawfish)
Lineage: Eukaryota; Metazoa; Chordata; Chondrichthyes; Rhinopristiformes; Pristidae
Exons: 3
Source: RefSeq, a predicted model, not a curated record